Molecule: ribosomal RNA, 467 nt
Filed under: uncultured bacterium
Lineage: Bacteria
Description: partial 16S ribosomal RNA
Rfam family: Bacterial small subunit ribosomal RNA
Source: RNAcentral
GAUGAACGCUGGCGGCGUGCUUAACACAUGCAAGUCGAACGGAAAGGCCCAAGCUUGCUUGGGUACUCGAGUGGCGAACGGGUGAGUAACACGUGGGUGAUCUGCCCUGCACUUCGGGAUAAGCCUGGGAAACUGGGUCUAAUACCGGAUAGGACCACUUCUUGGAUGUUGUGGUGGAAAGUUUUUUCGGUGUGGGAUGAGCUCGCGGCCUAUCAGCUUGUUGGGGGGGUAAUGGCCUACCAAGGCGUCGACGGGUAGCCGGCCUGAGAGGGUGUACGGCCAAAUUGGGACUGAGAUACGGCCCAGACUCCUACGGGAGGCAGCAGUGGGGAAUAUUGCACAAUGGGCGCAAGCCUGAUGCAGCGACGCCGCGUGGGGGAUGACGGCCUUCGGGUUGUAAACUCCUUUCGCUAGGGACGAAGCGUUUUGUGACGGUACCUGGAGAAGAAGCACCGGCUAACUACGUG